AAUGAACGUUGGCGGCAUGGAUUAGGCAUGCAAGUCGGGGGAAUCCCAGCAAUGGGGGAACCGGCGUAAGGGGCAGUAAGGCAUGGGUACCUACCUUGGGGUUCGGGAUAGCCAUCAGAGAUGGUGGGUAAUACCGGAUGACGUCGUGAGACCAAAGAUUCAUCGCCCUUAGAGGGGCCCAUGUGAUAUUAGCUAGUUGGUGGGGUAACGGCCCACCAAGGCGAAGAUGUCUAGCGGGUGUGAGAGCACGACCCGCGCCACUCGCACUGAGACACUGGCGAGAUACCUACGGGUGGCUGCAGUCGAGGAUCUUCGGCAAUGAGCGCAAGCUUGACCGAGCGAUGACGCGUGAGCGAUGAAGGCCUUCGGGUUGUAAAGCUCUUUAGUGGGGGAGAAAAGCCGCAAGGUGUGAUCUAUCCCAAAAAUAAGCACGGGAUAAGUUCGUGCCAGCCGCCGCAGUAA
Molecule: ribosomal RNA, 462 nt
Filed under: uncultured bacterium
Lineage: Bacteria
Description: partial 16S ribosomal RNA
Rfam family: Bacterial small subunit ribosomal RNA
Source: RNAcentral